CAACGCGCCAUUUUUUCUUUUUCUUUCGAAUUUCUUUUUCCCGCGGAGACGAGACACGGCCACUCUCGGGUGCUGCUCAGUUAAUUCAUGGGGCUGGGGUUGAGCUGGAAACCUUUCCAUGAUGCCAACCGAACUUCUCCGGAAUGGGACCCCUGGGGAGACUCCGAGCAAGUCACGUGGAGGGGGGCAGUCACCGGUCUCACUGGAGCACACCAGGAGGAGCAGAUCCAGCGAACUGCGGCAAUGGAGCCAAGGAUGGGUCUGAAAUAAAGCAGUGGUUUUUGCCAGGGCAAACCCAAGCCAUUGCAGUACCUGAGGCAGAAAAUCCAAAGACCAUAAAACAAAGAGCACUAAAUUAAAUAAGCACCUAUCACCA
This is a long non-coding RNA of Hemicordylus capensis (graceful crag lizard), 376 nucleotides long. RefSeq lists it as uncharacterized. The transcript has 2 exons. NCBI's taxonomy places the organism in Eukaryota, Metazoa, Chordata, Lepidosauria, Squamata, Cordylidae. The record is from RefSeq and is a predicted model, not a curated record.